This 1372-nucleotide ribosomal RNA is filed under the name uncultured bacterium. Its description in RNAcentral is "bacterial SSU rRNA". It matches the Rfam family "Bacterial small subunit ribosomal RNA", at positions 28 to 1381 of the family's 1533-position model. The record is from RNAcentral.
GAUGAACGCUGGCGGCGUGCCUAAUACAUGCAAGUCGAGCGAACGGACGAGAAGCUUGCUUCUCUGAUGUUAGCGGCGGACGGGUGAGUAACACGUGGAUAACCUACCUAUAAGACUGGGAUAACUUCGGGAAACCGGAGCUAAUACCGGAUAAUAUUUUGAACCGCAUGGUUCAAAAGUGAAAGACGGUCUUGCUGUCACUUAUAGAUGGAUCCGCGCUGCAUUAGCUAGUUGGUAAGGUAACGGCUUACCAAGGCAACGAUGCAUAGCCGACCUGAGAGGGUGAUCGGCCACAUUGGAACUGAGACACGGUCCAGACUCCUACGGGAGGCAGCAGUAGGGAAUCUUCCGCAAUGGGCGAAAGCCUGACGGAGCAACGCCGCGUGAGUGAUGAAGGUCUUCGGAUCGUAAAACUCUGUUAUUAGGGAAGAACAUAUGUGUAAGUAACUGUGCACAUCUUGACGGUACCUAAUCAGAAAGCCACGGCUAACUACGUGCCAGCAGCCGCGGUAAUACGUAGGUGGCAAGCGUUAUCCGGAAUUAUUGGGCGUAAAGCGCGCGUAGGCGGUUUUUUAAGUCUGAUGUGAAAGCCCACGGCUCAACCGUGGAGGGUCAUUGGAAACCGGAAAACUUGAGUGCAGAAGAGGAAAGUGGAAUUCCAUGUGUAGCGGUGAAAUGCGCAGAGAUAUGGAGGAACACCAGUGGCGAAGGCGACUUUCUGGUCUGUAACUGACGCUGAUGUGCGAAAGCGUGGGGAUCAAACAGGAUUAGAUACCCUGGUAGUCCACGCCGUAAACGAUGAGUGCUAAGUGUUAGGGGGUUUCCGCCCCUUAGUGCUGCAGCUAACGCAUUAAGCACUCCGCCUGGGGAGUACGACCGCAAGGUUGAAACUCAAAGGAAUUGACGGGGACCCGCACAAGCGGUGGAGCAUGUGGUUUAAUUCGAAGCAACGCGAAGAACCUUACCAAAUCUUGACAUCCUUUGACAACUCUAGAGAUAGAGCCUUCCCCUUCGGGGGACAAAGUGACAGGUGGUGCAUGGUUGUCGUCAGCUCGUGUCGUGAGAUGUUGGGUUAAGUCCCGCAACGAGCGCAACCCUUAAGCUUAGUUGCCAUCAUUAAGUUGGGCACUCUAAGUUGACUGCCGGUGACAAACCGGAGGAAGGUGGGGAUGACGUCAAAUCAUCAUGCCCCUUAUGAUUUGGGCUACACACGUGCUACAAUGGACAAUACAAAGGGCAGCGAAACCGCGAGGUCAAGCAAAUCCCAUAAAGUUGUUCUCAGUUCGGAUUGUAGUCUGCAACUCGACUACAUGAAGCUGGAAUCGCUAGUAAUCGUAGAUCAGCAUGCUACGGUGAAUACGUUCCCGGGUCU